RNAcentral lists this unclassified non-coding RNA (205 nucleotides) under Hevea brasiliensis (rubber tree). The record is from RNAcentral. Lineage: Eukaryota; Viridiplantae; Streptophyta; Magnoliopsida; Malpighiales; Euphorbiaceae.
AAAAAAGUUUAUUAAAAAAAAUGAAGACAAAAAAUGCAUAAAACAAAAAGAAAAGGAAAAAUGUAUAUUUUAAAAUGAUUUAGGACUAAAUGUUAAUGAAAAGUAGAAUCUUUAUUGUUGACUAACAGAUAGGACUAAUGGUAACAGAUUUCUGUUGUGCCUUUUGCAAAAUGUUAAUUUUAUUGCAUUUACAUUUACUUCAUCA